UUUAAGCCAAUCAGCACAUUCCAUUCUUCCUGGCCACAGUCAUUGGUUUAGGGAUGGGCACGUGACCUACACAGUCCACUCAGGUGAUUCUCAGUGUUAUUGCUUAGAACACUGGGAUGUGAGCGUUCCUUGGGUGCCCCAUUCCAUCUCCCUUGCCUUCCCGUAGGCACCCUUAAGUGAGGUUAUGAGACCGACAAUUGUUAUGAUGGACCUUACUGCCAUGCUGGAAAGGAAGUUGGAAUAGACACUUGGAUAGAUAUUGGAGCCUGGGCAUUAAGUCAAUCCUGAGAUCCAUCCUACCUCUGGAGUUAGGUGAAACCAUAUUUUUCCUCACUGUUUAGGCCAGCUUGACCUGGGAGUUUCUGUUAUUUGCUGCUAAAAACAUCCUAAUUUCCUCGGCAAGCACAUGUGAGAAAAAGGAAAGGAAGAAGAAUUGGUUCCCUAUGUCUUCUCUUUUCUGAACUGUAAUGGGGUAAAUUCAAAGUCCUUGUAAAUAAAGAUGAGUCAUUUCCCUGCCACUAUUUGGAUUUGCCCUGUUGGAAGAAGUGCCUUCGUUUUAGUGGGAAACAAUCACCGAAGUGUUGGUGUUUUCCUGUGGUCGUUUAUGUUUUUUCUGUUUUAUUUAUUUAUUUAUUUAUUUAUUUAUUUAUUUAUUAUUAUUAUUUUUUUU
Molecule: long non-coding RNA, 670 nt
Organism: Prionailurus viverrinus (fishing cat)
Lineage: Eukaryota; Metazoa; Chordata; Mammalia; Carnivora; Felidae
Exons: 2
Source: RefSeq, a predicted model, not a curated record